CAAGGAUAUAUAUUGUAACCCUGCUUAUUUAACUUAUAUGCAGAGUAUAUCAUUUGAAAUGCCAGGCUGGAUGAAUGACAAGCUGAAAUUAAGAUUGUUCUGAGAAAUGCCAACAAUCUCAGAUAUGCAGUGCAUACCACUAAUGGCAGGAAGUAAAGAGGAACUAAAGAAACCCUUGAGGGUGAAAGAGGAAGGUAAAAAAAAACUGGCUUAAAUCUCAACAUUCAAAAAACUAAGGGUAAAAAAAACUGGCUAAAUCUCAACAUUCAAAAAACUAAGAUCAUGGCAUCUGACCUGAUCACUUCAUGGCAAAUAGAAGGGGAAAAAGUGACACUGACAGAUUUUAUUUUCUUUGGCUACAAAAUCAUUGUGGAUGGUGACUGCAGCCAUGAAAUUAAAAGAUGCGUUCUCCUUGAAGAAAAGCUAUUAGAAACCUAGGCAGCGUACCAAAAGCAGAGACAUCACUUUGCUAAAAAAGGUCCAUCUAGUCAAAGCUAUGGUUUUUUCCAGUAGUUGUACACAGAUGUGAGAUAUGAAGCAUAAACUGUAAGAUUUGAAGCAUAAAAAUACUUUGCUGACAAAGGUCCAUCCAGUCAAAACUAUGGUUUUUCCAGAUGUCAUGUAUGGAUGUGAGAGUUGUGCCAUAAAGAAAGCUGAGUGCUGAAGAAUUGAUGCUUUUGAACUAUUUCCAUAAUCUUUGUGGUGUUGGAAAAGGCUCUUGAGAGUCUGUUGGACUGUAAGGAGAACAAACCAGUCAAUCCUAAGGGAAAUCAACCCUCAAUAUUCAUCGGAAGGCCUGAUGCUGAAGUUGAAGUUCCAAUAUUUUGGCAACCUGACGCAAAGAACUGACUCACUGGAAUUGACCCUGAUGCUGGGAAGAUUUGAAGGCAAAAGGAGAAGGGGACAACUUAGCACACAGCCUUUUAGCUCACCUUUGCCACAAAAUUUUCUUCAGACAGGAGGGAAAAAAAGGAUACCUUCAUCAUAAUGAUGUACUGUUGAUUCUGUAUCUAAAAUCAUUGUAAUUCUGGAAGUUGCUCUAAGGUUCAAUGGAUGUUUGCCAGAAUUUUAGUCUGUGAGAGCUAAGUACUUCUUGUUAUAUGGAGUGAGCGACACUCCCUGCAUGGAAAUAAGUUUACUCUCUUUACCUACCUAGAACUAAAAUCUAGAAGGAAAAAUAAAAGCUCCUGCUAUGCAUGCCAAUAGUUUCUGUCUGCAUCUCUUGCCUUCAGGUGUGAGUAGCAUGAUGUAUGCAUACAAUAUUGAAUAAAUACUUGUUGAAUGCACUGAAUGAAUAAGUGUAUGUGCCUGAAAUAAUGGGAAUAAUUUCCAUAAAUUACCUUCAGAAAUGUUUAUUUAUUUGUGUUAUGCUGAGACAACAUACAAGCAAAAACAGUCUCAUCUGUAUUCUUUCCUUUUGGAAA
This 1424-nucleotide long non-coding RNA is filed under the name Ovis aries (sheep). Its description in RNAcentral is "lncRNA (ENSOARG00000026590.1)". Lineage: Eukaryota; Metazoa; Chordata; Mammalia; Artiodactyla; Bovidae. The record is from RNAcentral.